Long non-coding RNA from Anopheles merus, 830 nucleotides. RefSeq lists it as uncharacterized. The transcript is spliced from 3 exons. Lineage: Eukaryota; Metazoa; Arthropoda; Insecta; Diptera; Culicidae. The record is from RefSeq and is a predicted model, not a curated record.
GAAAGGUUUGUUGCUCCGGACGCGUUUUCGUACGGCCCGGUUCGUGCCCGCUGGUUGUUGCCGAGGAGCGUGGGGUGCGGGUGCUCGGGAAGGGUCAAAAGGCGACUUUUCUUUUGCUGCCGCGACCGAGCGGCCUACGACGCCAGCACGUGCGUGUGCGCUGCAGCGUGCAUUUGAUGGGUGUUUUGUUGCUUUGUUUUCUUAGUGUGCGACCAUAUUGGCCAGUGAGUAGUGUGCAUGUGUGAUUGCUCGUCAGAGUGAAAUUUUAACUGCAGUGGAAAGAGGGCCGAAUUUUCCCGACGUUUAGCGAAAAAAAAGGGGGGGAACAACCAACGGACCCCAGUGCAACUAAUCGACAGCUGUCGAACGAGGCGAGGAACUCGGUGGAAAUGCACGGCCACAGUGCGAUGUGAGCCCCUCCAGCAAGCGGGCAAGAAGACGCACGGAACAGUAGAGCAAGGAGGGGAAGGCUAGAAAAGUUCAAGCAUACCCAACACACCAACACACACACAGGCAUACACGUUCCAGCGAAAGAUAUGGCGCCAGUCCGGGACACACGGUGGGCUGGGCGGCAGCUCGCGCUGACACUGCUCGCGGUGACGCUGGCCGCGGUCGGGGGGCGGUCGGUGGCGGCAUCAGCACUACCGACUGACAGCUACCGAUUGACAGGGAGCAGCGCAGCGACAGCGCCCACAAAGGAGACGGUGUCAGCCUCAACUUCAUCAACCUCAACCGACGACGCUACUAUCAACCGCUGUCGCGCGGCCUGCCUGGCGAAGCAUUCUGUGCCCGAUAUGGCGUGCAGCCAAACGCGAGCCUGCUCAACGGUA